RNAcentral lists this long non-coding RNA (4791 nucleotides) under Linum usitatissimum (flax). RNAcentral describes it as "long non-coding RNA (LUSI_LNC007490)". Lineage: Eukaryota; Viridiplantae; Streptophyta; Magnoliopsida; Malpighiales; Linaceae. The record is from RNAcentral.
AAACUUAAAAGCUAAGUUCUAUAAUUGGACCAGGUGAUAGGGGUUUCGAGCCCACUAAGUGAAUGAGAUUGGGUUCGGCUUGGGCCCGUUUCGAAUUUAAGAAUUUUAAUUAAAUAUAAAUGGACGAAAAUUAAUUAAAAAUUAAAAGUAUUGAUUUUUACAAAAAAAUUCUAACCUAAUGAUUAAUCAUCCCCCACGUGUCAACACCACACCCCUGCCUGGCAUCGUCAUCAUCAUUUUCAUUCCUAUAAAUAGGACUUCUAAAACCACCAAUGCACUCCCCUACACCUCUCUACCCUUGCCAAAAAAUCAAGAGAACAAAAAAAAAGCAAUAAGUUAGUAGUAGAGUAAGCACGUGAUAAAUAGUUUGGGUUUCACGUACAUAAGUACUUGAGUUUUGAAACCCUGUGUUUUAAAGUUCAACUAUUCUUGUAUACGAGGAACCUAGUUUCAUAGGUUUCCACAUAUCUAAUAACUAUAUAUUUAACUUUUACUUAUCUAUGUGUGCUAACACUAACUCUUAACACUACUAAGUAAUGUUCCUAUUUCAUCUUUCACUUCCUAAGCAUUGUAUUCUCAUACAGUCAAUCAUCAUUUAUGUUUAAUAAUUUUAUGUCAGUUAUCAUGUUUAUGUGUUCAGUGAACUUGCGAGCGUUGCAUGGAUCGAACCUCGUGGUUCGAUCGGAUCGUCUAGGGAUGGGUUUCAUAACGGGUAUUAGAGCCUGGUUAUUCUCAACUGUUUGAUCGAAGUUUAUGGUACUGAGGCGUCAUGAACCUCAAAGUGACCACUAUUUUCGGGAGCUUAGUGUAGUAACCAAAGUUUUUCUGGGUUCUCAAAUUUUUUGUCAUUUUCAUAGCUCGAUUUUUUCUUCGAAUUUUUGACCUUUUUCAUUAAUUAGAAUACACACUUCUAAACUCUUACCGAAUUGUCUAAAUUAUGAAUUAAUGGUCACAAGCAAAGAUGCUAUACCGAACCUAGAUAUUAAGCGUUGGUCAGAUUAACGGGUUGACAUGAUAUUUCAAACUCAAAAGCUAAGUUCUAUAAUUGGACCAGAUGAUAGGGGUUUCGAGCCCACUAAGUGUAUGAGAUUGGGGUCGGCUUGGGCCUGUUUCGAAUUUUAGAAUUUUAAUUAAAAAUAAAUGGACGAAAAUUAAUAAAAAAUUAAAAGUAUAUAUUUUUACAAAAAAAUUCUAACCUAAUGAUUAAUCAUCCCCCACGUGUCAACACCACACCCCUACCUUCCAUCGUCAUCAUCAUCAUCAUCAUCUUCAUUCCUAUAAAUAGGACUUCUAAAACCAAUAAUCACGGAACAAAAAAAACACUCCUAAAGUCCCCAACACAAACUUCAGUCACUAACUCUAAUCUCAAACUCUCCAACCCUCGAUAUCCCCUAAAGUUUUUCAAACUCCAAAAGUCAUUGACAUUCUCAAAGAGCUCUCUUUCAUUCCUCUCUUCAUUCUUCACCAAUGCACUGCCCUACACCUCUCUACCCUUGCCAAAGAACCAAAAGAACAAAAAAGAAAUAAGUUAGUAGUAAAGUAAGCACAUCAUAAAUAAUUUGGGUUUCACGUACAUAAGUACUUGAGUUUUGAAACCCUGUGUUUUAAAGUUCAACUAUUCUUGUAUACGAGGAAUCUAGUUUCAUAGGUUUCUACAUAUCUAAUAACUAUAUAUUUAACUUUUAUUUAUCUAUGUGUGCUAACACUAACUCUUAACACUACUAAGUAAUGUUCCUAUUUCAUCUUUCACUUCCUAAGCAUUGUAUUCUCAUACAGUCAAUCAUCAUUUAUGUUUAAUAAUUGUAUGUCAGUUAUAAUGUUUAUGUGUUGAGUGAGCUUGCGAGCAUUGUAUGGAUCGAAGCACGUGGUUCGAUUGGGUCGUCUAGGGGUGGGUUUCACAACAGACAUUAGAGAAUGGAUAUUAGAGCCUGAUUAUUCUCUAUUGUUUGAUCGAGGUUAUUGGUACUGAGGCGUCAUGAACCUCAAAGUGACCACUAUUUUAGGGUGCUUAGUGUAGUAACCAACGUUUUUCCGGGUUCUCAAUUUUUUUGUCAUUUUCGUAGCUCGAUUUUUUCUUCGAAUUUUUGACCUUUUUCAUUAAUUUGAAUACACACUUCUAAACUCUUACCGAAUUGUCUAAAUUAUGAAUUAACGGUCACAAGCAAAGAUGCUAUACCAAACCUAAAUAUUAAGCGUUGGUCAGAUUAACGGGUUGACAUGAUAUUUCAAACUUAAAAGCUAAGUUCUAUAAUUGGACUAGGUGAUAGGGGUUUCGAGCCCACCAAGUGAAUGAGAUUGGGUUUGGCUUGGGCCCGUUUCGAAUUUCAGAAUUUUAAUUAAAAAUAAAUGGACGAAAAUUAAUUAAAAAUUAAAAGUAUUGAUUUUUACAAAAAAAUUCUAACCUAAUGAUUAAUCAUCCUCACCAAUGCGCUGCCCUACACCUCUCUACCCUUGCCAAAAAACCAAGAGAACAAAAAAAAAGCAAUAAGUUAGUAGUAGAGUAAGCACAUGAUAAAUAGUUUGGGUUUCACGUACAUAAGUACUUGAGUUUUGAAACCCUUUGUUUUAAAGUUCAACUAUUCUUGUAUACGAGGAACCUAGUUUCAUAGGUUUCCACAUAUCUAAUAACUAUAUAUUUAACUUUUACUUAUCUAUGUGUGCUAUUUACUUAUCUACGUGUGCUAACACUGACUCUUAACACUACUAAGUAAUGUUCCUAUUUCAUCUUUCACUUCCUAAACAUUAUAUUCUCAUAAAGUCAAUCAUCAUUUAUGUUCAAUAAUUGUAUGUCAGUUAUCAUGUUUAUGUGUUGAGUGAACUUGCGAGCGUUGCAAGGAUCGAACCACGUGGUUCGGUCGGAUCGUCUAGGGAUGGGUUUCACAAUGGGUGUUAGAGCCUCGUUAUUCUCAACUGUUUGAUCGAAGUUAUUGGUACCGAGGCGUCAUGAGUCUCAAAGUGACCACUAUUUUCGUGAGCUUAGUGUGAUAACCAAAUUUUGUUCGGGUUCUCGAAUUUUUCGUCAUUUUCGUAGCUCGAUUUUUUCUUCGAAUUUUGGACCUAUUUUAUUAAUUAGAAUACACACUUCUAAACUCUUACCGAAUUGUCUAAAUUAUGAAUUAACGGUCAUAAGCAAAGAUGCUAUGCCGUACCUAAAUAUUAAGCGUUGGUCAGAUUAACGGGUUGACAUCAUAUUUCAAACUUAAAAGCUAAGUUCUAUAAUUGGGCCAGUUGAUAGGGGUUUCGAGCCCACUAAGUGUAUGCGAUUGGGUUCGGCUUGGGCCCGUUUCGAAUUUCAGAAUUUUAGUUAAAAAUAAAUGGACAAAAAUUCAUUAAAAAUUAAAAGUAUUUAUUUUUACUAAAAAUAUUCUAACCUAAUGAUUAAUCAUCCCCCACGUGUCAACACCACACCCCUACCUUGCAUCGUCAUCAUCAUCUUCAUUCCUAUAAAUAGGACUUCUAACAACAACAAUUAUGGGGAAAAAACACUCCUAAAGUCCCUAAGACAAAAUUCAGUCACUAACUCUAGUCUCAAACUCUCCAACCCCUCGAUAUCCUCUAAAGUUUUUCAAACUCCAAAAAUCUAUGAUAUUCUCAAAAAGCUCUCUUUCAUUCCUCUCUUCUUCUCUUACGAAUGCACUGCCCUACACCUCUCUACCCUGGCAAAAGAACCAAAAAAAACAAAAAGAAGCAAUAAGUUAAUAGUAGAGUAAGCACAUCAUAAACAUUUUGGGUAUCACUUACAUAAAUACAUGAGUUUUGAAACCCUGUGUUUCGAAGUUCAACUAUUCUUGUAUACGAGGAACCUAGUUUCAUAGGGUUCCACAAAUCUAAUGACUAUAUAUGUAACUUUUACUUAUCUAUGUGUGCUAACUCUAACUCUUAACAUUACUAAGUAAUGUUCCUAUAUCAUCUUUCACUUCCUAAGCAUGGUAUUCUCAUACAGUCAAUCAUCACUUAUGUUCAAUAAUUGGAUGUCAGUUAUCAUGUUUAUGUGUUCAGUGAACUUGUGAGCAUUGCAUGGAUCGAACCACGUGGUUCGAUCGGGUCGUCUAGGGGUGGGUUUCACAACGGGUAUUAGAGGCUGGUUAUUCUCUACUAUUUGAUCAAGGUUAUUGGUACCGAGGCGUCAUGAACCUCAAAGUGACCACUAUUUUCGGCAGCUUAGUGUAGUAACCAAAUUUUUUCCGGGUUCUCAAAUUUUUUGUCAGUUUCGUAGCUCGAUUUUUUCUUCGAAUUUUUGACCUUUUUCAUUAAUUAGAAUACACACUUCUAAACUCUCACCGAAUUGUCGAAAUUAUGAACUAACGGUCAUAAGCAAAGAUGCUAUGCCGAACCUAAAUAUUAAGCGUUGGUCAGAUUAACGGGUUGACAUGAUUUUUCAAACGUAAAAGCUAAGUUAUAUAAUUGGACCAGGUGAUAGGGGUUUCGAGCCCAGUAAGUGAAUGACAUAGGGUUCGGCUUGGGCCCGUUUCGAAUUUCAGAAUUUUAAUUAAAUAUAAAUGGACGAAAAUUAAUUAAAAAUUAAAAGUAUUGAUUUUUACAAAAAAAUUCUAACCUAAUGAUUAAUCAUCCCCCACGUGUCAACACCACACCCCUGCCUGGCAUCGUCAUCAUCAUUUUCAUUCCUAUAAAUAGGACUUCUAAAAGCAACAAUCAUGGAACAAAAAAAAGCACUCCUAAAGUCCCCAAGACAAAAUUCAGUCACUAACUCUAAUCUCAAACUCUCCAACCCUUGAUAUCCCUUAAUGCUUUUCAAACUCCAAAAAUCUUUGACAUUCUCAAAAAGCUCUC